CCUACGGGUGGCAGCAGUCGAGAAUCAUUCACAAUGGGGGAAACCCUGAUGGUGCGACGCCGCGUGGGGGAAUGAAGGUCUUCGGAUUGUAAACCCCUGUCAUGUGGGAGCAAAUUAAAAAGAUAGUACCACAAGAGGAAUAGACGGCUAACUCUGUGCCAACAACCGCGGUAAUACAGAGGUCUCAAGCGUUGUUCGGAAUCACUGGGCGUAAAGCGUGCGUAGGCUAUUUCGUAAGUCGUGUGUGAAAGGUGCGGGCUCAACCCGCGGACGGCACAUGAUACUGGGAGACUAGAGUAAUGGAGGGGGAACCGGAAUUCUCGGUGUAGCAGUGAAAUGCGUAGAUAUCGAGAGGAACACUCGUGGCGAAGGCGGGUUCCUGGACAUUAACUGACGCUGAGGCACGAAGGCCAGGGGAGCGAAAGGGAUUAGAUACCCUAGUAGUC
Molecule: ribosomal RNA, 446 nt
Filed under: uncultured bacterium
Lineage: Bacteria
Description: partial 16S ribosomal RNA
Rfam family: Bacterial small subunit ribosomal RNA
Source: RNAcentral